GAUUUCUGGCUAAUUCGGAUGGCCCGGUCCCUUUCGGGGCUGCGUGCUGUCUCUGAGUUUGCCAUCCUUCCAGAGAGCAGUGCCUACCGCUUCUGCGGCCGGGCGCUGUGAUCUGGAUCUUUUACUUUGAAAAAAUUAGAGUGUUCCAAGCAGGCUUACGCUUUGAAUACAUUAGCAUGGAAUAAUAAUAUAGGACUUUGGACCUAUUUUGUUGGUUUCUAGGACUGAAGUAAUGAUUGAUAGGGAUAGUUGGGGGUGCUAGUAUUCAGCGGCCAGAGGUGAAAUUCUUGGAUUCGCUGAAGACUAACUACUGCGAAAGCAUU
Molecule: ribosomal RNA, 323 nt
Filed under: uncultured Tremula
Lineage: Eukaryota; Cercozoa
Description: SSU rRNA
Rfam family: Eukaryotic small subunit ribosomal RNA (bases 107-323)
Source: RNAcentral